Molecule: ribosomal RNA, 402 nt
Filed under: uncultured bacterium
Lineage: Bacteria
Description: bacterial SSU rRNA
Rfam family: Bacterial small subunit ribosomal RNA
Source: RNAcentral
GGGAAUCUUGCGCAAUGGGCGAAAGCCUGACGCAGCCAUGCCGCGUGAAUGAUGAAGGUCUUAGGAUUGUAAAAUUCUUUCACCGGGGACGAUAAUGACGGUACCCGGAGAAGAAGCCCCGGCUAACUUCGUGCCAGCAGCCGCGGUAAUACGAAGGGGGCUAGCGUUGCUCGGAAUUACUGGGCGUAAAGGGAGCGUAGGCGGACAUUUAAGUCAGGGGUGAAAUCCCGGGGCUCAACCUCGGAAUUGCCUUUGAUACUGGGUGUCUUGAGUAUGAGAGAGGUGUGUGGAACUCCGAGUGUACAGGUGAAAUUCGUAGAUAUUCGGAAGAACACCAGUGGCGAAGGCGACACACUGGCUCAUUACUGACGCUGAGGCUCGAAAGCGUGGGGAGCAAACAGA